CGUGAGAGUGAUGAGUUGCACCAUCAGUCGGGCGCUGGUUGCAGUGGCACAGGCGUCCCGUCCCGCAUGUCUCUGGGGACACAACCAUGUGCACAGGGGCCAUCUGACUCACC
Molecule: small nucleolar RNA, 113 nt
Organism: Hucho hucho (huchen)
Lineage: Eukaryota; Metazoa; Chordata; Actinopteri; Salmoniformes; Salmonidae
Source: Ensembl